This 228-nucleotide long non-coding RNA is filed under the name Mytilus galloprovincialis (Mediterranean mussel). Lineage: Eukaryota; Metazoa; Mollusca; Bivalvia; Mytilida; Mytilidae. The record is from RNAcentral.
GGGGGGGUAGGAUGAAAUUUGAAAAAAAUAGGCAGGACAGGAAUUUUGUGUAAAAAAAAAAGGCAGGAUGAGACACUUGCAAAAAGUCAGAUGACAAUUUAGGUAAAAAAAAAGUCAGGAUAAACUAAAAAAAAAAGGCAGGACCGAAUAGAGUGAAAAAUAAAAAGGCAGGACAGAGAUUACAACUAAAAAAAAAUGCAGGUCAAAAUUUUUCAUCCUAGCCCCCCC